ACAUAUGCAAAGACUAGGGUUGUAGACAGAGCUCCACUUCUCAAAUCUAAGCCCUUCCACGGUGAGAACCAUCCUCAAACCAGAGGAUCCAGCAUACACACAGUUCAGAGCAAGCCCACCAACAUCAGGGUGAUGGAGACCCAGAGACCCAGAGGAGUACCAGCCUCCUAGAAAUCAACCCAUUCAGCUCACAAAAUAUGUUCUCGCUUGCCUUGGGGACCUGGCAGUCCCACCUAUUCCUUCCACCCAGCAUCUAGCCCAUGGCUUCUCCACUGAUAGACCAAGAACCAAUUGGGGAACAGGACCUUACCAUCGGAAUCACCCCUACAGUGAGAAGUUCUCCAACACCACCGGGACAUACUGUGCUGCCACAAACCACGAACCUGUGAGCAAGUUGGAACAGGCAGCCAAGACAAAGCUUUCAGAUUGGUCCCAGAUACUUGGCACAGUAAAGGAAAGGAGGAAGGAGAGCUGGUUUUCUUCAGGAACGCAGCGUCUGACCCCUUACUCCAGGAGGUAGUCCUACACCCUUGGUACCACAGGCUGAGCACUAACUGGAUUUGGGAUUUGGGGGAUUUUAAGAGCCCAUAAAGUUGAAAAUGA
Molecule: non-coding RNA, 603 nt
Organism: Rattus norvegicus (Norway rat)
Lineage: Eukaryota; Metazoa; Chordata; Mammalia; Rodentia; Muridae
Source: RefSeq, a predicted model, not a curated record